This 253-nucleotide ribosomal RNA is filed under the name uncultured bacterium. Its description in RNAcentral is "partial 16S ribosomal RNA". It matches the Rfam family "Bacterial small subunit ribosomal RNA", at positions 524 to 776 of the family's 1533-position model. The record is from RNAcentral.
UACGAAGGUGGCAAGCGUUGUUCGGAUUUACUGGGCGUACAGGGAGCGUAGGCGGUUCGGUAAGCCCUCUGUGAAAUCUCCAGGCUUAACCUGGAACAGUCGGAGGGGACUGCUGGGCUAGAGGACGGGAGAGGAGCGCGGAAUUCCCGGUGCAGCGGUGAAAUGCGUAGAGAUCGGGAGGAAGGCCGGUGGCGAAGGCGGCGCUCUGGAACGUUUCUGACGCUGAGGCUCGAAAGCGUGGGGAGCAAACAGG